AUCCCCUCCUAGUUGGAAGGGGAUGGCUAGAGUGGGCUGGAGUUGGGCAUCUCCUUCCCCCCAGGUGAGCUAGGCUCUGAUAAAACCCCAGCAGGUUAGGCUCUGGUUAACUAGUUUCCCUGAGGCCAGGUGUUCUUAAGAAGGACAUAGUGCUCUGAUGUAUGUCAAAAAGGUUCUUUUCCGCUUCCCCUGCCAGAAGCAGGAGGGGGUUUUUCUCCAACAUAUUGUGGCAAUCUAGUUGAGCUCCUGGAAGUAAAUCUCACAAAACUGUGGUGCCUUGCAGUGACUGGGUCGCCCUCGGGUUUAUAGCUCUCAGUUUUGUCCACACUGAGCCUCCAUCAACUCAUCAAUCACAGCUCUGGCUUUCCUGCCCCGGCCCUGCUUCCUGUGGUGGUUUUAGCUGUGAAUCUCUGCUCUGGAAGAUUAGCUCUGAGCUAACAUCUACCACCAAUCCUCCUCUUCUUUUGCUGAGGAAGACUGGCCCUGAGCUAACAUCUGUGCCCAUCUUCCUCUACUUUAUAUGUGGGACACCUACCACGGCAUGGCUUGACAAGCGGUGCCAUGUCUGCACCCAGGAUCCAAACUGGCGAACCCCGGGCUGCCAAAGCAGAACGUGCACACUUAACCAUUGCGCCACCAGGUCGGCCCCCAUAGAUAUUUUGAAUAUUGAGGGUCAGAGAUCUGAAUCUAAAUCUUGUUUCAGAUUUCCACAAUUUCCUUUAAAGGAGUAGAGCUAAUCUCCUGAGAAACAACAUAGGGUGGCAAUUUCCACAAAAUCUGUAAUAAUCUGAUUUCCUCUUAGAGCAUUCCAAAUAUGUAUAGGAUGAUAUCUGGAAGGUACUAUAGACCAUGAACUCUACGCACAAUAAAUUAAAAGAAACACAAAGUCUACAUUUUGUUUUAGUUUGUCUUUAUGGUAAAUGGUGUGAAAUGAUU
Molecule: long non-coding RNA, 936 nt
Filed under: Equus caballus (horse)
Lineage: Eukaryota; Metazoa; Chordata; Mammalia; Perissodactyla; Equidae
Description: lncRNA (ENSECAG00000031605.3)
Source: RNAcentral